This is a small nucleolar RNA of Rhododendron vialii, 103 nucleotides long. RefSeq annotates it as small nucleolar RNA R30/Z108. Lineage: Eukaryota; Viridiplantae; Streptophyta; Magnoliopsida; Ericales; Ericaceae. The transcript has a single exon. The record is from RefSeq and is a predicted model, not a curated record.
UGAGAUUGCGAUGAGGAUAAAUAAGCUCCCUCUUCUGACACUAAAGUUGAGGAGAAUUGCUGGCAGAAUCGAACCUAAUACUUAACUAGCCACCACUGAGCAA